AUACGGAGGAUCCGAGCGUUAUCCGGAUUUAUUGGGUUUAAAGGGUGCGCAGGCGGGAUGUUAAGUCGGCGGUGAAAUUUUGCAGCUCAACUGUAAAAGUGCCUUCGAUACUGGCUUCCUUGAGUGUAGAUGAAGUAGGCGGAAUUUUGUGGUGUAGCGGUGAAAUGCUUAGAUAUCACGAGGAACUCCGAUUGCGCAGGCAGCUUACUAAACUACAACUGACGCUCAUGCACGAAGGCGGUGGGGAUAC
Molecule: ribosomal RNA, 250 nt
Filed under: uncultured bacterium
Lineage: Bacteria
Description: partial 16S ribosomal RNA
Rfam family: Bacterial small subunit ribosomal RNA
Source: RNAcentral